Molecule: ribosomal RNA, 492 nt
Filed under: uncultured bacterium
Lineage: Bacteria
Description: partial 16S ribosomal RNA
Rfam family: Bacterial small subunit ribosomal RNA
Source: RNAcentral
AGUGAACGCUGGCGGUAGGCCUAACACAUGCAAGUCGAACGGCAGCACAGUAAGAGCUUGCUCUUACGGGUGGCGAGUGGCGGACGGGUGAGGAAUACAUCGGAAUCUACUUUUUCGUGGGGGAUAACGUAGGGAAACUUACGCUAAUACCGCAUACGACCUACGGGUGAAAGCAGGGGAUCUUCGGACCUUGCGCGAUUGAAUGAGCCGAUGUCGGAUUAGCUAGUUGGCGGGGUAAAGGCCCACCAAGGCGACGAUCCGUAGCUGGUCUGAGAGGAUGGUCAGACACACUGGAACAGAGAAACGGUACAGACUCCUACGGGAGGAAGCAGUGGGGAAUAUUGGACAAUGGGCGAAAGCCUGAUCCAGCCAUACCGCGUGGGUGAAGAAGGAGUUCGGGUUGUAAAGCCCUUUUGUUGGGAAAGAAAAGCAGCAGGUUAAUACCCCGCUGUUCUGACGGUACCAAAAGAAUAAGCACCGGCUAACUUCGUG